This 402-nucleotide ribosomal RNA is filed under the name uncultured Wolbachia sp. Its description in RNAcentral is "bacterial SSU rRNA". It matches the Rfam family "Bacterial small subunit ribosomal RNA", at positions 355 to 774 of the family's 1533-position model. The record is from RNAcentral. Lineage: Bacteria; Pseudomonadati; Pseudomonadota; Alphaproteobacteria; Rickettsiales; Anaplasmataceae.
UGGGGAAUAUUGGACAAUGGGCGAAAGCCUGAUCCAGACAUGCCGCAUGAGUGAAGAAGGCCUUUGGGUUGUAAAGCUCUUUUAGUGAGGAAGAUAAUGACGGUACUCACAGAAGAAGUCCUGGCUAACUCCGUGCCAGCAGCCGCGGUAAUACGGAGAGGGCUAGCGCUAUACGGAAUUAUUGGGCGUAAAGGGCGCGUAGGCGGAUUAGUAAGUUAAAAGUGAAAUCCCAAGGCUCAACCUUGGAAUUGCUUUUAAAACUGCUAAUCUAGAGAUUGAAAGAGGAUAGAGGAAUUCCUAGUGUAGAGGUGAAAUUCGUAAAUAUUAGGAGGAACGCCAGUGGCGAAGGCGUCUAUCUGGUUCAAAUCUGACGCUGAGGCGCGAAGGCGCGGGGAGCAAACA